UUUUCACUUUACAAAGAGAGUGUUUAACAUGGUCAAGAUUAAAAAUGUACUAAUGUAACAAACAAACAAAUUGGCUUUAAUAGGCCCUCAAAGCCCCUUUUUCCCCAUUAAAACCCAUUAUCUCGCCAUAAUUUAUAUAGAUAUGUGCUCUAAUGGCGCCAUUGUAGGACUAUUAAUUAUUUACGUGUUUAACUCUAUUGGUGAUGAUUACUUUACUAAGUAAUUAAAUCAUCGAUUGGAAUUCUGUAGCUAUAUAAAACCCUGUCACUCUCCAUACACGCUGAUAAGUUCGUAGAGCAACCACUGGUGAUUAGGAUUUGGAACUGCGGCAGCAUUUCCAAAAAAGUUGACAGAAAAAUACAGUACAGACGAAAUGCAUACUCUUCACCAAGUAUUUCUCACAGUUGUGGCAGUUUUCUUCCUGAUCGGUAGUUUAGGAGCUCACCCUGGAGCCUUCCUAGACGAAACGGACAUAUGCAUUUUAAUCUGUGAUAAGUGUUUCAAAAAUCAAGCGCUUUUAAAUUGUGCGAACCACUGCCUUGCCACAUCUGGACAAGUAAGUUCGUCUUGGAAACAAAAGUGCCCUUAUUUUAGUUCUAACCAACCCGCUGUAAAAUAUAUUUAAACUUAAAAUUCAUGUGAGUUAUGCAACCAGUUAUACGCUAGACACUUCAGGCACUCGUCAGUAUUGUAUUGUAUCGACCCUGUACAUCCACCAAGCACAAGGAAAACUGUAAUUAGAUGCUUAUCUUUUAUUUCAAAUGAAAUAUGUAUACUCUUACAAAAUUAAUAUAUUAUUCUUAAAAUUUUACAAA
Molecule: long non-coding RNA, 815 nt
Organism: Zophobas morio
Lineage: Eukaryota; Metazoa; Arthropoda; Insecta; Coleoptera; Tenebrionidae
Exons: 2
Source: RefSeq, a predicted model, not a curated record